RNAcentral lists this small nuclear RNA (161 nucleotides) under Oryza sativa Indica Group (long-grained rice). Its description in RNAcentral is "snRNA U1". It matches the Rfam family "U1 spliceosomal RNA". From Rfam's summary of the family: U1 is a small nuclear RNA (snRNA) component of the spliceosome (involved in pre-mRNA splicing). Its 5' end forms complementary base pairs with the 5' splice junction, thus defining the 5' donor site of an intron. There are significant differences in sequence and secondary structure between metazoan and yeast U1 snRNAs, the latter being much longer (568 nucleotides as compared to 164 nucleotides in human). The record is from RNAcentral. Lineage: Eukaryota; Viridiplantae; Streptophyta; Magnoliopsida; Poales; Poaceae.
AUACUUACCUGGACGGGGUCGACGGCCGAUCAAGAAGGGCCGUGGCCUAGAUCAAUGGCUCACAUUGCACUUGGUGAGCGCGUUGGUUUACCAUCUCCCCAAGUGGGAGAGUGGACGUCAUAAUUUGUGAUAGAGGGGGUACGCGUUCGCGCGGCUCCUGU